This 779-nucleotide unclassified non-coding RNA is filed under the name Hevea brasiliensis (rubber tree). The record is from RNAcentral. Lineage: Eukaryota; Viridiplantae; Streptophyta; Magnoliopsida; Malpighiales; Euphorbiaceae.
CUUAAAUAUUAUGAUGGAGAUUUGGAAGCUGCUAGGUCUUACUAUUUUCGUUCUCUCAAUGUGCGUCGUGAGGCCAUGAAACAUCAUUCUAAUGUUUCAUCCCAGGUCAGAACCUGUUAUUUUUGGGCAUAUAUUUCAUGCCGCUUGUUUGCUGUUAAUUUCAUUUACCUCGUACUGUGACAAAAUGUAAUUUUGAUACCAUGCCUGAUGGACUAUGCGAGUAAUGACAUGGUGGCCAUGCACCUUGCAUGACCUCAAAAUGACAGUAUCUGUAAAGAUUCUUCUUACUAGUUCUGCUGAAAUUAUUAUUAUCAUGAGAGACAUUUAAAAUUAUGAGACAUUUUAGGGGAUGGUCAAAAGAAGAAAAUAGUUGGUCUAUGAUGUGUGAUGAUUCUUUAGUGAUUCCCUUGCCUUUGAUGGGAAGUAGGAAACAAAAUAAAGACAUUAGCCAAGCAUAAUGAGAAAAAGAAAUGAGAAUACUAUGUGUAUAGGCUUUAAUUAGUAGGGAAAAAAAAACUGCUAUUUUUCGCAUCAGAUUUGCCUUCAUAUGUUUCUCAAUCUCUACUGCUGUGGACCACAUGUUCUCUUUUUAAUGGAACAGUUCUGUAAUAUUUGAAUGUUCAUGUUAGUCAGAAAUGUUCCACAUUUGCUUACUUUCUUUGCAUUUAAUUACAGACUCUAGAUGUGGCUGUUUCCCUAGCAAAAGUUGCUGAUGCAGAUAGGAGUCUUGGUCACGAGCAUGAAGCACUUGAUAAAUUUCAAGAAGCCAUAAAAUUGUU